UACGAAGGGGGCUAGCGUUGUUCGGAAUUACUGGGCGUAAAGCGCACGUAGGCGGGUUGUUAAGUCAGGGGUGAAAUCCUGGAGCUCAACUCCAGAACUGCCUUUGAUACUGGCAACCUAGAGACUGGAAGAGGUUAGUGGAAUUCCCAGUGUAGAGGUGAAAUUCGUAGAUAUUGGGAAGAACACCGGUGGCGAAGGCGGCGACCUGGUCCGAUACUGACGCUGAGGCGCGAAAGCGUGGGGAGCAAACAGG
This 253-nucleotide ribosomal RNA is filed under the name uncultured bacterium. RNAcentral describes it as "partial 16S ribosomal RNA". It matches the Rfam family "Bacterial small subunit ribosomal RNA", at positions 524 to 776 of the family's 1533-position model. The record is from RNAcentral.